Molecule: unclassified non-coding RNA, 254 nt
Filed under: uncultured Alphaproteobacteria bacterium
Lineage: Bacteria; Pseudomonadati; Pseudomonadota; Alphaproteobacteria
Description: contains 16S-23S intergenic spacer region
Rfam family: Bacterial small subunit ribosomal RNA
Source: RNAcentral
UACGAAGGGGGCUAGCGUUGCUCGGAAUCACUGGGCGUAAAGCGCACGUAGGUGGAUCAUUAAGUCAGGGGUGAAAUCCUGGAGCUCAACUCCAGAACUGCCUUUGAUACUGGCGAUCUUCGAGUCCGGGAGAGGUGGGUGGAACUGCGAGUGUAGAGGUGAAAUUCGUAGAUAUUCGCAAGAACACCAGUGGCGAAGGCGGCUCACUGGCCCGGCAUUGACGCUGAGGUGCGAAAGCGUGGGGAGCAAACAGG